This 72-nucleotide transfer RNA is filed under the name uncultured marine phage. RNAcentral's name for it is "tRNA-Gln". It matches the Rfam family "tRNA". From Rfam's summary of the family: Transfer RNA (tRNA) molecules are approximately 80 nucleotides in length. The record is from RNAcentral.
UGUCCUAUGGUGUAGUGGUAACACAAGAGGUUUUGAUCCUCUUGUCCUCAGUUCGAUUCUGGGUAGGAUAAC